GGUCUGCGGGAAGAAACGCGGCAGCGAAAAGCCCUCGCGCAGCAUGCGGUUCUCGUCGAUGGCGACGAAG
This 70-nucleotide non-coding RNA is filed under the name Heterosigma akashiwo. Lineage: Eukaryota; Raphidophyceae; Chattonellales; Chattonellaceae. The record is from RNAcentral.